Molecule: long non-coding RNA, 1471 nt
Organism: Magnolia sinica
Lineage: Eukaryota; Viridiplantae; Streptophyta; Magnoliopsida; Magnoliales; Magnoliaceae
Exons: 2
Source: RefSeq, a predicted model, not a curated record
UCAUUCUCUCGGUGGUUAAUGUUAACUGGGGUCCCAAACCGUUCAAAUUUAAUUCUGCUUGGCUCGGCGUUGACGGCUUCAAGGAGAAAAUAGUGGAGUGUUGGCCCUCUCCCCAGGUGGAUGGAUUCGCAGGUCAUAGGUUGAUUUGCAGACUCAGAUUUAUUAAGGAAAAGCUGAAAGAAUGGAAGGAAGAAGAAUAUCGGAAGAGAGAGCUUGAGACUGAAGCUUUAUUCGCUGAAUUACAUCAUAUCGACUCUUCGGUUGAAGGCAUAGACCUUCCAAUGGAUGUUCUAUCUAGACGUAUUCAGAUCAUUCAAUCCUUGUCGUCCAGAUCUCUUGAAGACGAGCAAUCUUGGAGGCUGAAAUCAAGGACUAGGUGGAUUUCGGAAGGCGAUAAGAACACUAAAUAUUUUCACAGCAUCGCCAACAUGAGGGCUUGGGCUAAAGCCAUUCAUAGCAUUACAAUAGAAGGUAGACAGGUGGAUGAUAGAGACAAGAUAUCUGAAAUAGCAGUGGCUCACUUCAGAGCCGUUCUCUCAUCCGAGGGAUGGCCUAGACCUCGUCUGGACGGGAUCCCUUUUCUCUCUCUUCUCAGGUCGGACGCGGAUCUUCUGGAGGCCCAGUUUUCAUAAGAGGAAGCUAAAGCGGUUGUUGAUGCGAUGGAAUGUGAUAAAUCCCUAGGGCCUAAUGGGUUUCCCAUCUCCUUCUUUCAAAUUUUCUGAGACACUGUUCGUCUGGAUGUCAUGGCUUUUCUUAACGAAUUCCAUUCCAGGGGAAAGUUAUCUAAGGGCAUCGGUGCUUCCUUCAUUGCCUUCAUCCCCAAAGUUGUUGGUGCCAAUUCUUUUUUAGAUUUCAGGUCCAUUAGCUUGAUCAGUAGCCCAUACAAAAUCCUGGCCAAAAUUCUAUCCACUAGAUUAUCGACUGUCAUGGGGAAAUUGAUCUCGAAGUAUCAGAAUGCCUUCAUAAGAGGUAGACAGAUAAUAAACGGCGCUUUGAUUGUUAAUGAAGUUCUUCAUUCCUGCGACAAGUCGGGGAAGAAAACCAUAUUCUGCAAGCUCGACAUAGAGAAGGCUUACGACCACGUCGACUGGGGAUUCUUACAUUAUAUGUUGCACUGCAUGGGGUUUGGAGAAAAAUGGAGGCAAUGGAUUAAGGCAUGCAUAGAACCAGCCCACUUUUCAAUCCCUCUCAAUGGUGCUCUGAAAGGCUUCUUCCCCAGUUCAAGAGGUCUCCGCUAAGGGGACCCUCUUUCUCCCCUUCUGUUUCUGAUCAUUGGUGAAGCCCUCUCUCAGAUGCUUCUUAAAGGUCAAAGUGUUGGUCUCUUCCGUGGGAUCUCAAUGCCGGGCUCCUUAACGCCAAUCUCCCAUAUCUAAUUUGCAGACGACACUCUCAUCAUGGUAGAAGCGGAAGCUGAAGCUAUCAAUAAUCUCCACACGACUCUCAGGUGCUUUGAAGCAGUCUCCGGGCUGAG